UACGUAGGCGACAAGCGUUAUCCGGAAUUACUGGGCGUAAAGCGCACGCAGGCGGUCAGAUAAGUCUGAUGUGGAACCUUCUGGCUUAACCAGAAGACGUCGUUGGAUACUGUCUGUCUUGAGACGAUGAGAGGAAUGCGGAAUUCCGGGUGUAAUGGUGGAAUAUGUAGAUAUCCGGAGGAACAUCUGGCGAAAGCGGCAUUCUGGCAUUUGCCUGACGCUCAUGUGCGAAAGCGUGGGUAGCAAACGGG
Molecule: ribosomal RNA, 251 nt
Filed under: uncultured bacterium
Lineage: Bacteria
Description: partial 16S ribosomal RNA
Rfam family: Bacterial small subunit ribosomal RNA
Source: RNAcentral